CAGCCGCCGCGGUAAUACGUAGGGUGCGAGCGUUAAUCGGAAUUACUGGGCGUAAAGCGUGCGUAGGUGGUGGUUUAAGUCCGUUGUGAAAGCCCUGGGCUCAACCUGGGAAUUGCAGUGGAUACUGGGUCACUAGAGUGUGGUAGAGGAUAGUGGAACUUCCGGUGUAGCAGUGAAAUGCGUAGAGAUCGGAAGGAACAUCUGUGGCGAAGGCGACUAUCUGGGCCAACACAGACACUGAGGCACGAAAGCGUGGGGAGCAAACAGGAUUAGAUACCCCUGUAGUCCCUGUCUCUUAUAC
Molecule: ribosomal RNA, 301 nt
Filed under: uncultured bacterium
Lineage: Bacteria
Description: partial 16S ribosomal RNA
Rfam family: Bacterial small subunit ribosomal RNA
Source: RNAcentral